UCAACCAANGUAUGCUUUGGAAACUGUUAGACUUGAGGNCAGAAGGGGAGAGUGGAAUUCCAUGUGUAGCGGUGAAAUGCGUAGAUAUAUGGAGGAACACCGGUGGCGAAAGCGGCUCUCUGGUCUGUCACUGACGCUGAGGCUCGAAAGCGUGGGUAGCGAACAGGAUUAGAUACCCUGGUAGUNCACGCCGUAAACGCUGAGUGCUAGGUGUUAGGUCCUUUCCGGGACUUAGUGCCGACGCUAACGCAUUAAGCACUCCGCCUGGGGAGUACGACCGCAAGGUUGAAACUCAAAGGAAUUGACGGGGGCCCGCACAAGCGGUGGAGCAUGUGGUUUAAUUCGAAGCAACGCGAAGAACCUUACCAGGCCUUGACAUCCCGAUGCCCGCUCUAGAGAUAGAGUUUUUCUUCGGAACAUCGGAGACAGGUGGUGCAUGGUUGUCGUCAGCUCGUGUCGUGAGAUGUUGGGUUAAGUCCCGCAACGAGCGCAACCCUUAUUGUUAGUUGCCAUCAUCAAGUUGGGCACUCUAGCGAGACUGCCGGUAAUAAACCGGAGGAAGGUGGGGAUGACGUCAAAUCAUCAUGCCCCUUAUGACCUGGGCUACACACGUGCUACAAUGGUUGGUACAACGAGUCGCAAGCCGGUGACGGCAAGCUAAUCUCUGAAAGCCAAUCUCAGUUCGGAUUGUAGGCUGCAACUCGCCUACAUGAGGUCGGAAUCGCUAGUAAUCGCGGAUCAGCACGCCGCGGUGAAUACGUUCCCGGGCCUUGUACACACCGCCCGUCACACCACGAGAGUUUGUAACACCCAAAGUCGGUGAGGUAACCAUUUAUGGGGCCAGCC
Molecule: ribosomal RNA, 846 nt
Filed under: uncultured bacterium
Lineage: Bacteria
Description: bacterial SSU rRNA
Rfam family: Bacterial small subunit ribosomal RNA
Source: RNAcentral